This 5653-nucleotide long non-coding RNA is filed under the name Homo sapiens (human). RNAcentral's name for it is "non-protein coding LINC01780:11". The record is from RNAcentral. Lineage: Eukaryota; Metazoa; Chordata; Mammalia; Primates; Hominidae.
AUGUGGAUCAAGGCUGGAGGAUGACAAGCUCCUGACUGAUAGAUACAUGGAGACUUCGCUGGUGAUUUAUUGGCUUUCUGCACCUGACGAGAACCACUAGGCCUAUCUGAGGAGGGAAAUAUAUGGGCUUUCCUGACUCCAAGUGGCAGCCCCGGGGCGAGCAUGUGAUGUCAAGCUGGGCAGAGGAAAGCGGAGCUGUGCACCGGCCUGUGUACUGUAAGCCGGCCCGGGUCGUAAAAGUGUCAGCACGCGAUAUAUUUCUUGCAGGGGAUCCUCUCUGGCUCUUGCCAGCGCCUCUCCCCCGUGGCUGGCAGCCGCCCUAGCCGGGCCUGCAAACAGCGGAUGCCCCAGGUCGCUAUCCCUCCGCCCUGCCCCGGAGCGCCGGGCCCUCACGUUCUCGCUCCAGCCUGGGGUCUCUCACGUGGCAUCUGGCCCUGGGGACGGUGCAGCGGAGGAGUUAAUUGCUGUCACUCCUGACUUCAGCGAAAGAGGUCGAUCGUGGGGUGAGAUAUUGAAGCUGGGGAUUGACCUGUGGACCAAGAGUUUGAUGGGGCAACUCAAUAGCAAACUCAAUGUUCCCAGAGAUGAACCAAGCUUCUUCCUCGGGGUUAGCAGGGGCCUGGAGUGGAUGUUUAGUCUACCGGUCAGACUCCAGGUCUUAUAUCUUGAAACUGUAAGUCCCUGAAUUCACAGACAAUUCAGAGUAAGGAUGGAGGCAAAGAAGAGGACCUUGGGUUUACUGUUCACGAGAUGACCUCAUAAAGGUGUUCAGUGAUGAAGAGGAGUGGCUGAAGAGAUGGCUGUCUAGAGUCAACACAAACCUACCCCAAAGUUUGACCUUUGCCUUAAGUCAGUAACUGAGGAGGGCCACGGUCCUGAGUUCAGUCCAGACCCCAGGAAGAUUCAGAGCCUGCAGUUGUCCUCUGGUUUCUAAAGUAUGUUAUUGGGCUAAAGAUUUCAAGACAUUUAUCCUUCUUUGCUUUCUAUCGCAGCCAUUAAAUGUUUUAGAUAUUUUCUGCCAGAAGGCAGGAAUCAUGAAGAUAACAAAUAUUAAAGACAAAACCAAAUAACUUUUAAUGAGAAGGUCAGUCCGUGGUUUGAGUCUUUGGAAAGAAAUCAAGAACUCUGACUAUACUUGCUAUUUGACCAUUGAUUCUCUAGUGGAAAUGGGCAAAUCUUUUAUACCAGGGCAAAUUUUUCAGUAACGGGCCAGACAGCAAAUAUUUUAGGAAUUGUGGGCCAUACAGUCUCUCUCCCAACUACUUAACUCUUCAGCAUAGCAUAAAAGCAGCCAUAAACAAUACUACAACAAGUAUGGCUGCAUUCCAAUAAAACUUUAUUUACAAAAAUAGGCAGCACGCCAGAUUUGGCCCACAAGCUAUAGCUUUCUGACCCCUGCUUUGCCAAACUCAAUAACAAACAGAGAGGGAGACUCUUUUAAAAAAAUUAUAUUCAUUUGGGAGUAGCAUUGCAAUGGGAAUACGUGUGCCAUAGCAAAUUAUGAGCGUAUUCAAAGAGAUUGGGGCAAGGGGAAGUUUAUAAAGGCAAAACGAAGAGGAUUACAAUUGUUCAAAUCAAUUAUCCUUGGCUACAAGGGUGGCACAAGUCCAAGCUUGAACAGGCAGUUGCUAGACAGACAUCCUUACAGAAGUAUUUUCUGUGUAAGGUUGCAGUGGUCUUUUUGCAAAGCUAUAGUAAAUCACAGGGGUCAGUACAACCGUAGUGCAAUGGAUAAGCCUUGCCCUCGGAAAAUCUUCGUGAUCAUGGUAUCUCCCCUGCCAAAUAAAUAUUGUGACAGUUCUUAUCAGGCAUUCAUGUGUAAGAACUCUCCCUUGAUGGCCUUCCCUGGCUCCAUUUGCCAGGGUUUUAACAUAAAUUACUCCAUUUUGAUUCGGACAACUUUCAUAACUGCUUACCAUCUGUGCCUCUGUGUAUAAAAGUGGACAUACUAAAAUUUUUCCUUAGGGCUACAACUAAACAUCCAGCCUAGCCCUUAGCCAGCACCAAGGAAGAGGCCUGGGGGAUAGAGGAACAAAUAAUGAGACCAAGUCAGGCCAUCCCCCAUGGGGUGAGGCCUGCAGGUAGGUGGGCCCAGUGUGGUGUACCUCUAGCACAGUGCCUGGCACAAAAUUGCAGUUUAUUUUCUGAAUAAAUAACUCUUGGAUCAAUUGGUUGCUCUCUGGGAAUGUGACUUUGCUGUUGAGUUGUGCAGAGUACUCUCUGUCUCCAAGCCAAUCCCAGCUUCAGUAUCUCACCCCACAAUCCACAUUUCCCAGUGUCUGGAGUAACAACAAUGACCUGGGGCUGGGCUCUCAGCAAGUCAAACCCUGCCUCAACAAACCCAAACUGCUUUGGGGACCAAUGUGAUGCAAAUGUGUACUGAAUCCCCUGAAUUCCCCCUGGUGAUCCUGUCCUGUAACAGGCCCUCCCCAUCCCCUCAGGCCAGUGCAUUCAGGAAAUCAGUGACCACAGGAUGGUUUCUCAGCUGGAGGGAAGGUCAGCCUGCAUCUGAGCAUCUUAGAACAUGUUAUUUUGUUCCCACUGGUCAAUCCCGUCCAAGCUGUACACAUAGUGCCUAAGCCACGUUUGUUACUGCAGGCCUGUCUUCGGAAAGGUCACUGAACAGAAGGAGGAGGCACCUUACUCUCUUUUGUUACGUCUUCACCACUUUUGUCUAAAGGGAAGUUUAGCUGGAGGGCUGAGCACGCAGACAGGUUUCUGACUGUGCCACAUAGAUCCCACAUUGCUUCUCUGCCAUGAUUUAUCAUCUGUGACUUGACAUGUUCUGCACACACGGGCAUGUUGUACACAUUGAGACAUGCUUCCUGCAUUCAAAGAUUUUCCCAUAUUGAGGGCAUUUUCCUGGUGCAGAAUUGAAGACUGAAUUGAGGCAUUCAGAUUGACCUCAACAUCUACGGGUCUGGAGGAGGUUUGGGACGUUUCCUUUUCUUCUCUUCAGGGGCCCACUCCUGUUGUAAAGAGCAGCAGCAUUUAUAAUGAGGGCCCAGGAAAUGCGGGGGAGAGGGGAGAGCCUGCUAUCUCUGCAGUGGGUGACUGUUGUUUCCCUGAUCAACAAUGUAUCAUAUCCCAGCCUAAGCCUGCCUUUCUCCUUCCCCCUCCACAUGGGGAGGGGCCGUGGGCUCAGAGCUCACCUGGAAUGCCUCUGGUUGCUGAAGGGCUGGAUGGAGACUCUGAGACAACCUGAUGGAUCAUCUCAUAAACAGAGCCUGCAGGAAGGAAAAGAAAAUUAUGCCAGCAUAAUGCACUUACGAGAAAUAGAUACGUGCGGUGCAGGGAGAAAUGCUUUGAUAUUAAAAUUUUUGUAACUUAAAAAGGCAUGAAAAAUGAUACCGACCACUAACUAAUCAACAUUCCUUUGCGAAUACAGCUUCAGUUCCUAACCAAAAACACAUCCCUGCUAUUGUCUUGUCUGGAUCCAGAUGCAAACAUGAUUAAUUAAGUUUCUGGUGAGGAGUGGGACGAGGGCAGUGGGAACUGAUGGCUUGCUGAGGAUCCUUUUCAUAUACAGGCCUGGGGAGAAUCCCUUAGUCUGGGUGCCUAUUUCCCUCCACAUGUCAGGGCUUACCCCGUGCACUGACAGCCACGGGGGCAGUGAGUAGGCUGCAGCCAGACCCAUGGAGUGAGGCAGUGAGAGGCUGAAAGGAGAGGCUCUACAGACAGUACAGGGAGGCUCUUGGUAUCUCCCAUUGCCACUGCACAGCACAGCACGGCAGAGUAGCAAACGCAUAUGCCAUGUCUUGUUGGGAGACCUGGGCCCUGCUCCAGACUGCUACCAAGUAGUUUGGGACCUUGGAUGAGCUGCCUCAAUUUCUCCAUUUGUGAAAUUGGGAGGUGACAGCGUGCUGGCAGCCCUCGCAGCCCUCGCUCUCGGCCUUGGUGCCUGCCUACUCUGGCCGCCCUUGAGGAGCCCUUCGGCCCACGGCUGCACUGUGGGAGCCCCUUUCUGGGCUGGCCAAGGCUGGAGCCAGCUCCCUCAGCUUGCCGGGAGGUGUGGAGGGAGAAGCGCGGGCAGGAACCAGGGCUGCUCAUGGGGCUUGCCGGCCAGCGCGAGUUCUGGGUGGGCAUGGGCUCAGUGCCUGCGCACUCUGAGCGGCCGGCAGGCCUGCGAACCCCGGGCAGUGAGGGGCUUAGCUCCUGGGCCAGCAGCUGCUGUGCUCAAUUUCUCGCCGGGCCUUAGCUGCCUCCCCGCGGGGCAGGGCUCGGGACCUGCAGCCCACCAUGCCUGAGCCUCCUCCCGCCGUGGGCUCCUGUGUGGCUGGAGCCUCCCCGAGGAGCACCGCCCCCUGCUCCACCGCUCCCAGUCCCUCAACCACCCAAGGGCUGAGGAGUGCGGGCGCAUGGCACGGGACUGGCAGGCAGCUCCACCUGCGGCACCGGUACCGGAUCCACUGGGUGAAGCCAGCUGGGCUCCUGAGUCUGGUGGGGACUUGGAGAACCUUGGUGUAGACACUCUGUAUCUAGCUAAUCUAGUGGGGAUGUGGAGAACUUUUGUGUCUAGCUAAGGGAUUGUAAAUACACCAGUCGGCACUCUGUAUCUAGCUCAAGGUUUGUAAACACACCAAUCAGCACCCUGUGUCUAGCUCAGGGUUUGUGAAUGCACCAAUGGACACUCUGUAUCUGGCUACUCUGAUGGGGACUAGGAGAACCUUUGUGUCUAGCUCAGGGAUUGUAAACGCACCAAUCAGCACCCUGUCAAAACGGACCAUUCAGCUCUCUGUAAAACAGACCAAUCGGCUCUCUGUAAAAUGGACCAAUCAGCAGGAUGUGGGUGGGGCCAGAUAAGAGAAUAAAAGCAGGCUGCCCCAGCCAGCAGGCACAACCCUCUCGCCUCACCUGCCGCAGUGUGGAAGUUUUGUUCUUUGGCUCUUUGCAAAAAAUGUUGCUGCUGUUCACUCAUUGGGUCUACACUACCUUUAUGAGCUGUAACACUCACUGGGAAGGUCUGCAGCUUCACUCCUGAAGCCAGCGAGACCACGAACCCACCGGGAGGAACAAACAAUUCCAGACGCGCCGCCUUAAGAGCUGUAGCAGUCACGGCCGGGCACGGUGGCUCACGCCUGUAAUCCCAGCACUUUGGGAGGCCGAGACGGGCGGAUCACGAGGUCAGGAGAUCGAGACCAUCCUGGCUAACACGGUGAAACCCCGUCUCUACUAAAAAUACAAAAAAAAUUAGCUGGGCAUGGUGGCGCACGCCUGUAGUCCCAGCUACACGGGAGGCUGAGGCAGGAGAAUGGCGUGAACCCGGGAGGCGGAGCUUGCAGUGAGUCGAGAUCGCGCCACUGCACUUCAGCCUGGGCGACAGAGCGAAACUCCGUCUCAAAAAAAAAAAAAAAAAAGAGCUGUAGCAGUCACAGCAAAGGUAUGCAGCUUCACUCCUGAGUCAGCGAGACCAGGAACCCACCACAAGGAAGAAACUCCGAACACAUCCGAACAUCAGAAGGAACAAAUUCUGGACACGCUGCCUUUAAGAACUGUAACACUCAGCGCGAGGGUCCCCUGCUUCAUUCUUGAAGUCAGUGAGACCAAGAACCCACCAAUUCCAGACACAAAAGGAGAGGUUGGAUUAAAUGUUCCUCAAAGUCUUCCAUUUCUGGCUUUUUAUUCCAGUGCCCAAAGUCCUUCACACAAAGCA